UUCGGACUGUAGUCUGCAACCCGACUACACGAAGCUGGAAUCGCUAGUAAUCGCGAAUCAGAAUGUCGCGGUGAAUACGUUCCCGGGUCUUGUACACACCGCCCGUCACACCAUGGGAGUCGGGAAUGCCCGAAGUCAGUGACCCAACCUAUUGGAGGGAGCUGCCGAAGGCAGGUCUGAUAACUGGGGUGAAGUCGUAACAAGGUAAC
This 209-nucleotide ribosomal RNA is filed under the name uncultured bacterium. RNAcentral's name for it is "partial 16S ribosomal RNA". It matches the Rfam family "Bacterial small subunit ribosomal RNA", at positions 1292 to 1500 of the family's 1533-position model. The record is from RNAcentral.